This 443-nucleotide ribosomal RNA is filed under the name uncultured bacterium. Its description in RNAcentral is "partial 16S ribosomal RNA". It matches the Rfam family "Bacterial small subunit ribosomal RNA", at positions 338 to 795 of the family's 1533-position model. The record is from RNAcentral.
CCUACGUGAGGCAGCAGUGGGGAAUAUUGGGCAAUGGGCGCAAGCCUGACCCAGCAACGCCGCGUGAGGGAAGAAGGCCCUCGGGUUGUAAACUUCUUUUAUUCGGGACGAACCAAAUGACGGUACCGAAUGAAUAAGCCACGGCUAACUCCGUGCCAGCAGCCGAGGUAAUACGUAGGUGGCAAGCGUUAUCCGGAUUUACUGGGUGUAAAGGGCUGGGAGGCGGGAGAGCAAGUCAGACGUGACAUUCCAGGGCGCAACCCUGGAACUGCGUUUGAAACUGUUCUUCUUGGGUGAUGGAGAGGCAGGCGGAAUUCCGGGUGUAGCGGUGAAAUGCGUAGAUAUACGGAGGAACACCAGUGGCGAAGGCGGCCUGCUGGACAUUAACUGACGCUGAGGCGCGAAAGCGUGGGGAGCAAACAGGAUUAGAUACCCGUGUAGUC